UUCCGCGCAUGUUCCGACAUGAUAAAACUGACCAAGAACCUGAACCUGAGAACUCAACAAACCUGAUUGAGAUUACGCCUAUACCGCCUCGUCGAACCUCUGACAGUUAGAUUGCGCUAAUUGUCAG
This is a long non-coding RNA of Sinocyclocheilus grahami, 127 nucleotides long. RefSeq lists it as uncharacterized. NCBI's taxonomy places the organism in Eukaryota, Metazoa, Chordata, Actinopteri, Cypriniformes, Cyprinidae. The transcript is spliced from 3 exons. The record is from RefSeq and is a predicted model, not a curated record.